This 392-nucleotide ribosomal RNA is filed under the name uncultured bacterium. RNAcentral's name for it is "bacterial SSU rRNA". It matches the Rfam family "Bacterial small subunit ribosomal RNA", at positions 355 to 763 of the family's 1533-position model. The record is from RNAcentral.
UAGGGGAUAUUGCACAAUGGGCGGAAGCCUGAUGCAGCAACGCCGCGUGAGUGAUGAAGGCCCUCGGGUCGUAAAACUCUUUUCAAGAGGAAGAGGAAGGACGGUACUCUUGGAAUAAGCCUCGGCUAACUACGUGCCAGCAACCGCGGUAACACGUAGGAGGCGAGCGUUAUUCGGAUUUACUGGGCGUAAAGCGCGUGUAGGCGGCUGAUCAAGUUGGAUGUGAAAGCUCCCGGCUUAACUGGGAGAGGACGUUCAAAACUGAACAGCUUGAGUAUGAGAGAGGGAAAUGGAAUUCCGGGUGUAGUGGUGAAAUGCGUAGAUAUCCGGAGGAACACCAGUGGCGAAGGCGAUUUUCUGGACCAUCACUGACGCUCAGACGCGAAAGCUAG